ACUGAUCUCCGUCCGUCCGCCAUUUUAAUCAACGCGGCACUUUAUUCGUGUUGAAGUGUUUGACCUUUUAAAACCGGCGUAAUAUAAUCUAUAAUAUAUAUCUCGCGGCGGAUCAAAAUAACUACACAUACUUCAAAAUGCAGGCCGAAGAGCAAGGUGACUUUAGCACCGAUGAGUUUCCCGAAGGCUCCAAAAUAAACGCGAGUAAAAACCAGGAGGAUGACGGGAAAAUGUUCAUUGGUGGACUCAGUUGGGACACCAGCAAGAAAGACCUCACUGAUUACCUGUCCAGGUUUGGAGAGGUCCUCGACUGCACCAUCAAAACAGACCCAUUGACCGGCCGCUCCAGGGGCUUUGGAUUCGUGCUCUUCAAAGAUGCUGAGAGCGUGGACCGGGUGUUGGAGUUGACGGAGCACAAGCUGGAUGGUAAAUUAAUUGAUCCCAAGAGAGCCAAAGCCAUCAAGGGCAAGGAACCCCCUAAGAAGGUUUUCGUUGGUGGUCUCAGUCCAGACAUUACUGAAGAACAGCUCCGGGAAUACUUCGGAGUUUAUGGGGAAAUUGAAAGCAUCGAGCUUCCCACAGACACCAAGACGAAUGAGCGACGGGGAUUCUGCUUUGUGACAUUCGCUUUAGAAGAGCCUGUUCAGAAACUGCUGGAGAACAGAUACCAUCAAAUCGGAUCAGGGAAGUGUGAAAUUAAAGUAGCCCAGCCUAAAGAAGUCUACAGACAGCAGCAGAACAGAGACCGGGGCUUCGGAGGAGGACGAGGAGGCUUCAGGGGCCGUGGUGGAAGAGGACAAGGCUUUAAUCAAGGGUACAACAACUACUACGGCCAGAACUAUGGCGGGGGCUACGGCAACGGAUACAACCAGGGCUACAACGGCUAUUCUGGCUAUGACUAUUCAGGAUACAACUAUCAGAAUUAUGGCUAUGGACAAGGCUAUGAUGAUUACAGUGGUCAACAGAGCAGCUAUGGCAAGGCCUCACGGGACAGCGGAAACCAUCAGAACAGCUACCAGCCGUAUUGAUGAAGUGGCGAAACAAUGCGGGGACUUCAUUGCAGGCCGUGUGUCACCUGACCACGUCAUUCUCUGGGCGUCGCACAUAGCGGGCAGAGAGCACGGCAUGCACGAGAAAGCGCUGUCCUGUGGUGGGCAGGUUGACUUCGACAUUGCUCCUCGGAGGCAGCUUGUGUGGAAUCCUGUCCUUAAACAACUAUUAAAAACGUUAUUCGGUCCUCUGGGGACAAAUCCAGUGUCUAACCUUGUAAAUAGCGAGGUGUUUCGUUUCCAAGUUUGUCUUAUUCUGUGCUUUGUUCAGAUUGAACCUGUAGGUUUUGUGCUGAUGUGUUCUUAAGUCUUGAUUAGGAAAAGUGUCCUUUAUUUUGUAUUUUUAGUUCUUUUCCUGACGUUUUUGGAUAAAGGGAUUAAAAAUUCUGAGAAAACCAA
RNA transcript from Danio rerio (zebrafish), 1448 nucleotides. It is a transcript of the gene named heterogeneous nuclear ribonucleoprotein D-like, with no coding region annotated. Lineage: Eukaryota; Metazoa; Chordata; Actinopteri; Cypriniformes; Danionidae. The record is from RefSeq and is marked validated.